CCUACGGGUGGCAGCAGUGAGGAAUAUUGGUCAAUGGGCGUAAGCCUGAACCAGCCAAGUCGCGUGAGGGAUGAAGGUUCUAUGGAUCGUAAACCUCUUUUAUAAGGGAAUAAAGUGUGGGACGUGUCCUGUUUUGUAUGUACCUUAUGAAUAAGGAUCGGCUAAGUCCGUGCCAGCAGCCGCGGUAAUACGGAGGGUCAGAGCGUUAUCCGGAUUUAUUGGGUUUAAAGGGGGCGUAGGCGGCCUUUUAAGUCAGCGGUGAAAGUGUGUGGCUCAACCAUAGAAUUGCCGUUGAAACUGGGAGGCUUGAGUGUGUUUGAGGCAGGCGGAAUGCGUGGUGUAGCGGUGAAAUGCUUAGAUAUCACGCAGAACCCCGAUUGCGAAGGCAGCCUGCCAAGCCAUGACUGACGCUGAUGCACGAAAGCGUGGGGAUCAAACAGGAUUAGAUACCCUAGUAGUC
RNAcentral lists this ribosomal RNA (460 nucleotides) under uncultured bacterium. RNAcentral describes it as "partial 16S ribosomal RNA". It matches the Rfam family "Bacterial small subunit ribosomal RNA", at positions 338 to 795 of the family's 1533-position model. The record is from RNAcentral.